Molecule: non-coding RNA, 110 nt
Organism: Danio rerio (zebrafish)
Lineage: Eukaryota; Metazoa; Chordata; Actinopteri; Cypriniformes; Danionidae
Source: RefSeq, marked provisional
ACCUGCUGGGUACUGAUUUCAUUUCUUCCAAAUUUUAAAUAGGAAAUCUUGUCAUUCAUUGCAAUUGUAAUGCUUCGACUGAUUGGUGUAAGAAAAAUCCUCAUCUUGUU